This 597-nucleotide ribosomal RNA is filed under the name uncultured archaeon. Its description in RNAcentral is "bacterial SSU rRNA". It matches the Rfam family "Archaeal small subunit ribosomal RNA", at positions 325 to 922 of the family's 1478-position model. The record is from RNAcentral.
ACGGGGCGCAGCAGGCGCGAAAACUUUACAAUGCGGGAAACCGUGAUAAGGGGACACCGAGUGCCAGCAUCAUAUGUUGGCUGUCCGGGUGUGUAAAAUACACCUGUUAGCAAGGGCCGGGCAAGACCGGUGCCAGCCGCCGCGGUAACACCGGCGGCCCGAGUGGUGAUCGUGAUUAUUGGGUCUAAAGGGUCCGUAGCCGGUUUGGUCAGUCCUCCGGGAAAUCUGAUGGCUCAACCAUUAGGCUUUCGGGGGAUACUGCCAGACUUGGAACCGGGAGAGGUAAGAGGUACUACAGGGGUAGGAGUGAAAUCUUGUAAUCCCUGUGGGACCACCUGUGGCGAAGGCGUCUUACCAGAACGGGUUCGACGGUGAGGGACGAAAGCUGGGGGCACGAACCGGAUUAGAUACCCGGGUAGUCCCAGCCGUAAACGAUGCUCGCUAGGUGUCAGGCAUGGCGCGACCGUGUCUGGUGCCGCAGGGAAGCCGUGAAGCGAGCCACCUGGGAAGUACGGCCGCAAGGCUGAAACUUAAAGGAAUUGGCGGGGGAGCACAACAACGGGUGGAGCCUGCGGUUUAAUUGGAUUCAACGCCGGA